RNAcentral lists this ribosomal RNA (253 nucleotides) under uncultured bacterium. RNAcentral describes it as "partial 16S ribosomal RNA". It matches the Rfam family "Bacterial small subunit ribosomal RNA", at positions 524 to 776 of the family's 1533-position model. The record is from RNAcentral.
UACGUAGGGUGCAAGCGUUGUCCGGAAUUAUUGGGCGUAAAGAGCUCGUAGGCGGUCUGUCGCGUCUGCUGUGAAAACUCAGGGCUUAACCCUGAGCUUGCAGUGGGUACGGGCAGACUAGAGUGCGGUAGGGGAGACUGGAAUUCCUGGUGUAGCGGUGAAAUGCGCAGAUAUCAGGAGGAACACCGGUGGCGAAGGCAGGUCUCUGGGCCAUUACUGACACUGAGAAGCGAAAGCAUGGGGAGCGAACAGG